Molecule: ribosomal RNA, 122 nt
Organism: Otolemur garnettii (small-eared galago)
Lineage: Eukaryota; Metazoa; Chordata; Mammalia; Primates; Galagidae
Source: Ensembl
GUCUAUGGCCAUACCACCCUGAACGCGCCCAAUCUCGUCUGAUCUCAGAAGCUAAGCAGGGUCGGGCUUGGUUAGUACUUGGAUGGGAGGGGUCUCGCUCUUGCUCAAGCUGGUCUCAAACU